UCUCCGUUGGUGAACCAGCGGAGGGAUCAUCACCGAGUUUUCUACUCCCAAACCCCUGUGAACUUAUACCUUUACCGUUGCUUCGGCGGGUUAACGCCCCGGAAAGGCCCCCGAAAGGGAGCCGCCCCGGAACCAGGCGCCCGCCGGGGGACCCAAACUCUUGUAUUUUCUUACCUAGCAUGUCUGAGUGGAAUCAUAAACAAAUGAAUCAAAACUUUCAACAACGGAUCUCUUGGUUCUG
Molecule: unclassified non-coding RNA, 241 nt
Filed under: plant metagenome
Description: partial contains small subunit ribosomal RNA, internal transcribed spacer 1, and 5.8S ribosomal RNA
Source: RNAcentral